AUCGUCAUCAGAAAAGUCAACUCCAUCAGAGAAGUCACUACCGCCAGAGGAGACGCCCUUGCCAGAGAAGACGUGUUUACCAGAGGAGUCCCUCAUGCCAGAGAUGUCAAUAUCACCAGAGAAGACGCCUUCGCCAGAGAAGACAUUUCCAUCAGAGGAGCCAAUAAACGCGCGGGAAGGUCUCCCGCGUAUUAUCGAAAUUACCAACGUACCCUUCCACCACGCAGGACGCAUGCACCGAAGAUGUUUUUACUAUUUUACCCCUCCGCUUGUAAAUCUAUAAAUAGGGUCCGAGCUCGUGUAUUAUUUCUUACGCUAUCUCAUAUUUUCGAAUACUACAGUUGUUUUCUCUCUUGAG
RNAcentral lists this long non-coding RNA (358 nucleotides) under Salvia miltiorrhiza (redroot sage). Its description in RNAcentral is "long non-coding RNA (SMIL_LNC003924)". Lineage: Eukaryota; Viridiplantae; Streptophyta; Magnoliopsida; Lamiales; Lamiaceae. The record is from RNAcentral.